RNAcentral lists this ribosomal RNA (497 nucleotides) under uncultured bacterium. RNAcentral's name for it is "partial 16S ribosomal RNA". It matches the Rfam family "Bacterial small subunit ribosomal RNA", at positions 28 to 507 of the family's 1533-position model. The record is from RNAcentral.
GAUGAACGCUGGCGGCGUGCCUAAUACAUGCAAGUCGAGCGAACAGACGAGGAGCUUGCUCCUCUGACGUUAGCGGCGGACGGGCGAGUAACACGUGGAUAACCUACCUAUAAGACUGGGAUAACUUCGGGAAACCGGAGCUAAUACCGGAUAAUAUAUUGAACCGCAUGGUUCAAUAGUGAAAGACGGUUUUGCUGUCACUUAUAGAUGGAUCCGCGCCGCAUUAGCUAGUUGGUAAGGUAACGGCUUACCAAGGCAACGAUGCGUAGCCGGCCUGAGAGGGUGAUCGGCCACACUGGAACUGAGACACGGUCCAGACUCCUACGGGAGGCAGCAGUAGGGAAUCUUCCGCAAUGGGCGAAAGCCUGACGGAGCAACGCCGCGUGAGUGAUGAAGGUCUUCGGAUCGUAAAACUCUGUUAUUAGGGAAGAACAAAUGUGUAAGUAACUAUGCACGUCUUGACGGUACCUAAUCAGAAAGCCACGGCUAACUACGUG